Molecule: unclassified non-coding RNA, 201 nt
Filed under: uncultured Sebacinales
Lineage: Eukaryota; Fungi; Basidiomycota; Agaricomycetes; Sebacinales
Description: sequence contains ITS2
Source: RNAcentral
UACUCUCACACUCGCGAUCUUUGGAUCGCGAGCGGUGGACUUGGGUGUUGCUGCGUUACCCGUGGCUCACCUCAAAUGGAGUAGUGCACCUCUUGGUUGGACAUAGUACGGCGUGAUAAGUGUCUUCGCCGGCGCCUCACUUGUUGAGGGUGGCCGAUCGGGAGCUCUGUGCUUCAAACCGUCUUCGGACAACAACUGACA